Molecule: long non-coding RNA, 542 nt
Filed under: Rattus norvegicus (Norway rat)
Lineage: Eukaryota; Metazoa; Chordata; Mammalia; Rodentia; Muridae
Description: long non-coding RNA NONRATT022462
Source: RNAcentral
CCAGCCUCCCAGAGUCAGUCUCCAGGGGCACAGUCAUUCUCCACGAUCCCCAGCAAGCCUACCUACCCACCCUUCCAGAGCCCUGGCAGAAACUCCAUGUCCCACCUUGCAACCACAGCCAUCUGAAGACCUGGUGUCCAGUGGUCCCGAGGACUGUGGCUUCUUCCCCAAUGGGGCCUUUGACCACUGCCUGAGUCACAUCCCCUCCAUCUACACAGACACCUGAAGGAGCCCCACUCUACCUGCCUGCCCAGCUCCUGAUACUACUUUGCCUACUUGCCAUCAGCCCUGGUGCUUCCUUACAAGGGGCAGAGAGGCCACACCACAGGGGCACUUCCCUACCUGGAGGGCUGUCUUGUCUUGGAGCUGCCUGCCCGGAACUGUGGUCCUCUGACAGUCCCUUGACUGUAUCUUCCUCUCUCUCCCUAAGGUUCUCAAAUCACAGACCUCGUGUAUAUACAAUGUACAGGACCUCUUUCCCGUCUCCCUGCAAGUUUUAUAUUUUUGGUUUUACAAGAAAAACAUUAAAAACUGGAAACUAG